AAUUCACAGAUGAAAUAGAAACCCUCUGUGUUUAUGCUUCUUUCCUACCAAUCCUUUGCCACCCACCUACCUUUAAGUCUGUAACAUGGGCCAUGGGGAAUCAGAAGUCACAAAGUACAGAAAAAGGAAUUCUGUAUUUCUUUCAAAAUAGUUCUUGAAUAGUUAGCAUAAGCUCUAGCGACCAUGAACUGUUGAAAUAGACAUAUCGUUGACAGAAGAUGUUGCUAUACUUGCUGAUGAAGAGUGUUUAACUGAACUAUGAUUCUCUGAUCUGAAUAUAAGGCUAGGUUGUUUAGGGAAAGGAAGAUUUGUUUCAUUGCACAGCAUGAAGACCACUUCUGACAUAGUCGGUCUGUCAUCUGUAAACGGUUGUACACACAAAAGGCCAAUGUGGAUGCAUCUCAAAACUUCACAAGCUUCAUAUGAGCCACCUAACAAUGGAUCAACAACAUCUAAA
Molecule: long non-coding RNA, 457 nt
Organism: Solanum verrucosum
Lineage: Eukaryota; Viridiplantae; Streptophyta; Magnoliopsida; Solanales; Solanaceae
Exons: 2
Source: RefSeq, a predicted model, not a curated record